Molecule: long non-coding RNA, 537 nt
Organism: Aedes aegypti (yellow fever mosquito)
Lineage: Eukaryota; Metazoa; Arthropoda; Insecta; Diptera; Culicidae
Exons: 2
Source: RefSeq, a predicted model, not a curated record
CCAUGAAAAACUGACGAGGUCGAUGAGAGCAGAAUAUUUGGUCAUUCAAAAGCACACCCUCGAGCAAGACGGAAGCAAUCAAAAAAGUUCCCGAAGCAAAAUUAACAGCAAGUGAAAAUUACCUCUUUUGGAAUUCAAGAAGAACCUACCUCAACUUUCGGAACCGAUAUCCACCCUUACUCAGCAAGGAGAAAUUCAAACUUUUGAACACCAUGGUUAAGAGAGAUCAAAAUCCACCCCGCGAUGAGCAGAGCGAUGUUGAAAACGACCAGCAGCCCAGUGACGCCAUGGGACGCCGACGACGAUCUCGCUCCCGACGCCGUUCCCGUUCCACGUCUCGCCCCCGAGCCAGCGCUCGUUCAUCGUCCCGCCGACGUCGUAGCCGCAGCCGUCGUCGCCAUUACUAGAGGAGGAUCGCUUCCCCACCCCCACCAGGAUAAAUCCCAUCCCGCCCGGCUAUGCUGAAAAGUGGAAUCAUUCAAAUCCUGUUACUUGAGCCGCCAAAUAAAAUAGUUGUGUGAAAUCGAUAAAAGAAAA